RNAcentral lists this ribosomal RNA (384 nucleotides) under uncultured bacterium. RNAcentral's name for it is "bacterial SSU rRNA". It matches the Rfam family "Bacterial small subunit ribosomal RNA", at positions 790 to 1167 of the family's 1533-position model. The record is from RNAcentral.
GUAGUCCACGCCGUAAACGAUGCUCGCUGGAUCGGGGGUGCUCUGAUGCACUCCUGGUCGUAGCAAAAGCGCUAAGCGAGCCGCCUGGGGAGUACGGUCGCAAGGCUAAAACUCAAAGGAAUUGACGGGGGCUCACACAAGCGGUGGAGCAUGUUGCUUAAUUCGAGGCAACGCGAAGAACCUUACCUGGGCUUGACAUGGCCGGAUUAACUCCUGGAAACAGGAGCCACACCCGCAAGGGUGGAACGGUCACAGGUGCUGCAUGGCUGUCGUCAGCUCGUGCUGUGAAGUGUCGGGUUAAGUCCUCUAACGAGCGCAACCCCUGUCGCUAGUUGCUCACGGGUAAAGCCGAGUACUCUAGCGAGACUGCCGCUGUAAGGCGGA